CUUGCUUGAAAAGCGGUGAUUAAGAUUGGCACUUGCUUACAGGAGUGAAAAACAGCUGAGAAGACACUUCUAAGAGGUACAGCUAAAAGGUGGAGGACUGAUAGACAACUUAGAGGUUGGUUUCGGGAACGAUAAAACAAGUAACGGGCUGCCCGGCCUGCGCCGCGGAGUCCCGAGGAGCCUGCGCUGUGCUCCUCUCGCGGUGUCUCGUCAUCUCCGGGAAGACUCGGCGCCUGGGUCCGCGCUCUCUGGGUAAGCUUUCCGGGAAGCUUUCCCGGGAGCUCGCUGGUCCUGGCCCCAGAAGCCUGCGGACCCGCCCAGGGAGGAUAAGCAGCUGAAAGACCGCGCGGUGCCGCUCCGAGGCCCCGGGACGUGGGCCCAUGGUCGGCCUGGCGCCACCUUUCCGGGGGAAGCCACGCGCACCAGGCAUCGCACGCGGCUCUGCACCCGCGCCGCCGGACCUGAAACCCGGCGGAGGGCACACGGGGCUGCCGCUGCGGGCCCCGGACCAACCCAUGCUUACUCCGGAGCCUGUACCGGCGCCGAC
RNAcentral lists this long non-coding RNA (547 nucleotides) under Homo sapiens (human). Its description in RNAcentral is "non-protein coding lnc-BDH2-1:1". The record is from RNAcentral. Lineage: Eukaryota; Metazoa; Chordata; Mammalia; Primates; Hominidae.